This is an unclassified non-coding RNA of Actinia tenebrosa (Australian red waratah sea anemone), 6136 nucleotides long. The record is from RefSeq and is a predicted model, not a curated record. Lineage: Eukaryota; Metazoa; Cnidaria; Anthozoa; Actiniaria; Actiniidae.
GAGACUUCAAAUAUGGAAAGGUGAUAGGUGAGAUAACCCGUGGACGUGUUACAUGUAAUCCAUAAGUCUUCCUGUUACGUGCAAGUCUGAAAGCGUCUGAAAUACGUAAAUAUCACGUGCAGGAAUAUUCCCGCACAAAAGACCGCGUGAACCUGGAUCAGAAUACAGGGCGUACAACCAAACGAGACGUCACAAUCAUUACGUCAUUUUCAUUCAUCCUGAUUGGAUGAUUUCGCCAUGGUUACGCGUUUUUCUUGAACGUGAUUGGUUGGAAAAACCGGUUUUAACUGGUUUUGUGUGGUACGACACAAAUAAGUUUGUUGCGUUCAAACGCAUAGUUCAGUGUUUUGGGGGAUCUAGAAGAGGAUCUUCUCCAUUCACUCGCAAGUUGGUGGCUUUGGACUUCAAGUCGACGCGAAAAGGAGCGGCUAAUGAACCAAGUGAAAUGCUUUGUGAUGCGAUUUAAAUGAGAAUGUGCUGGUUCAUCAGAUGAGCAAUUCUCUUGACGGCAUUUGGUGGUCAUUCCAAGUUAAAGUCAAGCCAGAGAUCUGAAGAUGGAUAGUCUGAGAUGUGUCUUAAUGCGAAAAGGCUUGUAGUAUUAUGAUCAGGAGUACAAAGAAGUUGGAAUGUUAGCUUAAUAGUAGAGCACUCAACCCUUGCAAAUUGGGAUUUGAAACUUUAGAUUUGGUCAGCUCUGUGCUGCAUUUGCUUCAUUAGAAACUGUGGGAGGAAAUACUACUAUACUAUAGAGUAAGAUCAUGUAGUUUGCCAAACGCAUGUGCUACACUUAAGAUUUUAGUGUCUGUGCCUGUCCAGAAGAAAGCUGGGUCAAGUUCUCAAGUAAAAGGCAAGAAAUAAGCUGUUAUCUUUAAAGUAAUUUAAUCUUCCUACUUUACAUUAUUAUUCUAUAUAUCAUUUUAGCUUUUAUAGCUGUAUAUCUCUAUGCAUUUGGGUUUUUUGGGGAGAUGGUAUUUUUUAUUUUUCUUUGAAGAUAGCAAAGACCAAGAGAAAGUUUCCUCUGACAGAAUCAGAACAUCUAAAGUUCAGGUUACAUAAAACCUUCAAUCUCAAAAUCAUAAUUUAUUUCUGUUAAUUAGUAAAUUGUGUAGGCGAUAUGUAUACUUUGCUUGGAAUUUCAGUUUAGGUGUGUACGAGAAAUGUUAAGGAACUGGUAAAUAAGUCAUCCAUAAAAGUCCUGUUAAACCACUUCAUCGAGAAGGUAGAUGAAUUAAGCUGUCAUACUUGAGAUCCAAAUUCUCUACGUAAUUUUUUAUGCAUUCAAAACAUUCAUUUAGUAGAAGGGGUAUGAUAUUSGGGUAGAUCUGGGUUGUAUGUUUUAUUCAUCUUUCAGGAUGAAUGGUAAAUUCUCUUCCGCUGGUUACCAUGGAGUUGCAUAUCUAACAUUUUUUCACGAUUGUGGUAUGACUGUUAAAUUUAACAAAAAUAAUGGUUAAACUUUAUUUAUUAUAAUAUAUUAUUUUGUGGAAUUUAUUAGUAAUUAAUCUGAACUUAAUCAUAAAUUAAAGCUUAUAAAGGCAUAUUAUUCAUAGGUUAGGGUUUUGUAUGUAUAUAUUUUGCUUUUAUUUCUUAAAGGCGUUGCUCCGAACUUGUUGCCGGCUAAUUUCCAGUUGAGGCUCGAUUGCAUAUCAAGGCUUCCCUUGAGCAUUCGUUCUACUGCGAAGAUUAUCAAUAAUGCCAUGCGAUCUCUAUGUAAAGCAAGUGGUCACUCCAACUCUAAGCCUUCUGGUACAAUUCAUUUCUACAUAUUCAAACAAAGCCAUCUCUCUGGUGGUCCAAACAAAUUGGUUCAGCUGCAGACAUUCGUUCCACCUCAUCAGACAGAAAUUUUCGAAAGGUAACCAUUUGACCUUGAUUUUUUGUCGCAAAAGUGGUCUUUUUGAUUUGCCAGAUUUAGCAAAACUUGUUCACAAGAAAACAUGAUCCAUUUUCAUGAAGCAUUGGUUUUAAGUAUCCAGUCUAAAUUCAAGUUCGUAGUUUUCUAAAAGGAGUUUGGUAAGCUCAUUUUCAUUUUUUGAUGCUAAAGUAGUGUGGCCCAUAAGGCUACUUUGUAGGUAUGUGUUUCUGUUUUUCUUUCCAGCAGUGCAAUCCGUUAAUUGCUAUAAAGUUGGUCAAUUCUAAAUCUGAAACAAGCAUAUUGCAAGAGACAUAAGGCAAGCUCUUCCAUUUCCUUGAAUGAUAAGUGCAGCGAAUAAGGCAAGCAUCUUCUUCAUGAUUGGCAAGUUUUUAUGCAGAGGUAAUGCUGCUCCGUGUUYGUUUAUGAUUCCCAAUCAAGUCUUACAGCUUAUUAAGCAUACUCCAUUCCCAAGUAUCGACAUGGUAGUUCAAUCUUUCUAACCAAAAAUGAAAUUCAGCAAAAGACAAGCCACCAAAAUAAAGUUACUAGUUUCUGCUCGUUCCUUGUUGCGGUAUUUUUGUUUGGUCUAUACUUACAGGACAUGAUUGAGAUGACUUCAUAUCUAGAUACAGACUGAUAAAUUCUGCCUUUUGAGGAAUCACCGAGACUGUACGUAAAUCUGACUUUAUAAAAAUCAAUGACACUCGCUUUUUGUGCACAACGCAUGUUUCCUAUCAGUUGCAUUGACAGCAUUACCAAGAGUCUUAAGAGCCGCAGUUCAAUGAUGAGCGAAAGACAAGGUAAAUUUUGAAGUUUCUUUGCAUAGAAAAUUGGUCUUUUCAAAUUUUUAGCAGAACUGUUUUGGCAAGUACAGUUUUCAAAGUUGGUACGACAAAACGUGGUGUCUAAAAUGCGUUUAUAAUAGCAAGUUUUCCUUCCAUGAAGAGGUUUUCAAAGUAACUUUUCUACCAGAGUUUGGUAAGCUAAAGGAUUUUGCAUAUAAUUAUGUUGGUGACAUUGGCCAUUAUAGUUGUCCGUGGGUAUGUGUUCUAUUUUCCUAUUUGCCAGGUUAUUUGAAGCAUUUGUUUCUGGACUUUAUAAAGUACAAAAGACAAGAAAUUGGACUAAAGAGUAACGAGUGCACUAUGCAGAAAUAUGUAGAAAAGUUCAGAGGGGACUAAAGAAAAGUAGAAAGAGUACGCACAUAACUAGCGAUUUCUCCAAAACAUCGAGUCAGUGAGAGGGUUAACAUACAAGGCAAAAGCAAUGAGUAUAAACACCCAAGAUAGCCAGAUUGAAUCCCUAACUUUGAGCAGAGAGUGCAAAAUCGUAAAGCUAGCUUCAGGGGUGGUCCUUAGCCGUCAAUCCAUGGUAGUUUGAAUGAAGUGUAGCAUUGCCUAAAGCAGAGGUUCCAAGGUAGUCGGUCAUUCAGUAGUUGUUAACAUGUCAGUGGUGGUUGCAUAUUCUACUCAUCUUCGCUAACAGGACUAGCUCGUGUCUGUGACUGUCUGCUGUCCUCGACUCGUAGUCAUCAGUACAGUGAUUGAGUGGAUUCGCUUGAGUGAGUCGGUUGUCCACCGGUAAGCAUACUUGUCCAGCUUUUGUUUCCAUACAAUGCCUUGUUGCCUUCAAUUCAAUCUGCAGUGUGUCAAAGCAUGUGGUGAUUAGGACAAAAAAUUCAUGUUGAGAGUAGGCGAUGGAGUUUGCAAUCCACUUUUGAAAAAGCAGAGUAAAAAGCCAGUUGCACACUACUAAGGAAUUGUUUCUGCCACAGUGCAUGGAAGUUUGGUGAGCUAAAUUUUUAAAAUAUGUUUCUGAACUUGUCGUUUUGACCCUUUGGGUCCAUUUUGUAGGCACAUGUUUUUCCUUUUUUUACAGCAAAUGCAUAUGGGCUUAUCGCAGCAUUGAGGCCAGAAAAUAGUGUCCGUGUGACUUACAUGCUUAGUUCCUCUGAACCGAUCCAUUUAUAAAGGAGAGACAUAGUCAAGGUUAUGAGAGAUUGGUGGCUAAGUUAGAAGCAUGCAGUGCAUCCUCCAGAUGAAAUGAGCAAUAAAGAACUCGGAGAGAGUAGAGAGAUGCAGGUUUUGGCUUUCAAUUACUGAUCAGUCAUUAAGGUGAAAUCAUCUCAUUCCAGUUAAACUGCAGUCUUUCAUUUGCGUUAUUGGCCUAGUUAAUCCUUUUGCAAGGUAACAGGUAAACUUUAAACUUUUACAUAUAAUAUUUAUUUUUGUUUUUGUUUUAAAUGUACUCAUUUUCUGUAGUGCACUAAACCUUAAAUGUUUUAAAAUCAUAACCAUAACUACUAGAACUUCACAUAAGUGUUAGGAUGUCGAUUUUAUUGUGGUGUUACUAUUUAGUUUAAUUUUUCAUUCUAAUUAAUAGCAUACUUAAACAUGCACACAUGUAUCAGUGUUAGUUUGUGGAAGUGAACAUAUUUUUGAGUAGUUUUAGUAUUAACUGUGUUGUUGAAGAUCACAUAGUUUUAAUGUAAACUAUUUUUUUGUGAUAAGAUUUUAUGACCCUCGGGGGUCUUCGUAGGCAUGUUUUCUUUUUUUCUUUUUUAACAGCAAGAGCAUUAUGGCAUUCAUUAAUCUACAUAAGCAUCCAGCAUCUGUAGUGCGAAAAGCAAGAAUCGACUAAAGUAACCUAAACCAUUGUAUGUCCUAACAAAACGGUAGAAAAGUAACACUAAGUAAGAUUGCCAAUAUGCUUCCCUAUUAACUGUUCAUUGCAAGCGAGAGCAGUGGGUAUUGCUAACGAGAAACUCUGUUGAUGUUCCUGUCUGGGUGUAACCAUUUCCUUUGUUCAAGUGUGGCACCAUCGUUCAUUGUUUUGUAGUACUUUGGCUGUUCGUAAUGGGAGCAUGAGCAGUGGUAACCACAUAAAGUUCCAUCCAAGUGUAAGCACAAGUAUAGUUCUUUCGUCCUUCACAAGCAUUGCAUAACACCUAUUGUAUCCUGUAAACCUAAAGUGACGAGGUAGCAACUAGAUUGCAAGUGUAUCGAAUGUACAUUAUUUGUAUCCUGUAAACCUAAAGUGACGAGGUAGCAACUAGAUUGCAAGCGUAUUGAAUGUGCAUCAUUUGUCCGUUUUGUGGUGUAUCUUUAUUUGGUCUUUACUAACAGGACAAGUCUAAAACGACAUGGCCGUCUAAACCUUUGGAUAUAAUAACUGAUGUCUAACAUUUUGGAUCUGCUAUGCGUAUCACUUGUAAGCAUUCUGUUUUAAACUUUCGACUUUAAGUUUGUAUGCAACAUGUUGUUACUAUGCAUUAAAUCUGCAGUUGCCUAAAAGCACAACUAAAGACUAAUUUAAAUCAAACCAUUUCAACAAACGUAUUGAGCAGGUAACCUGUUUUUGACUUCGUGUUUUGUGUGGAAAUUCGUACUAUUCUUCAAAUUAACAGGAAAAAAAGUUCACUGAGUAAUCAAAUCAAGCAAGCCAUUCACUAAAUAAUCACAUCCAGCAUUAACCUUAGUGCCAUUAAAACACUGAAACGUAACAUCCUAAAGGAGUUCGGUAAGACUAUAUUAAUCUUCAAUUAUUGAAUGUAAUAUUGUAGGACCCUUUGGGUCGUUUGUGGUAUAUCUAUUCUAUUGUCUUCACAGCACGUAGAAGUUCCUAAAUCUAAAAUAUUAACGUAACCAGUGGAUCUUCAAGCAUAGUGGUAACUAGAGACGUAAUAACCUUAACAAGAUAGAAUCUUUGCAAGUUAAUAAAGAGAGGAUAAAGUAUGGCCAUGGAUCUACAAUCAGGGGGCUAUUGAAUAUGGUUAUUGAGAGAGUGAUACCAGUAGUAUAUUCCAUACUAGUUUGUUCAUCAUAAGCAACUCGUCUCCCCACAGUAAAGUGAUUGUUAAGAGAAGAAUCAGUAAUGUCUAAACAAGCAAGUAGUGGUAGCCUAGCCUCUUUUACAAGUUAUUGUUUCUACUGUUCCAUUGGUCCCUCUCCCCUAGCGCAAUGUUGGUAGUCCUUUUACGUCUUUACAGAGCAUAGAGCCAAUUCAAGUUUAAAAGCCAUCAAGCUAUGUAUGAGAAAGCAGGAUUUCCNUAAGCAGUAAAUCUAUUUCUACUAUUCCAUUGUGUUUCAAGUCCCUCUCCCCUAGUGCAAUGUUGGUAGUCCUUUUACGUCUUUACAGAGCAUAGAGCCAAUUCAAGUUUAAAAGCCAUCGAGCUAUAUAUAAGAAAGCAGGAUUUCCAUAAGCAGUAAAUCUAUUUCUACUAUUCCAUUGUGUUUCAAGUCCCUCUCCCCUAGUGCAAUGUUGGUAGUCCUUUUACGUCUU